AAGUCGUAACAAGGUCUCCGUAGGUGAACCUGCGGAGGGAUCAUUAACACGUUUCCAACAACGUUUACCAACCAAAUCAACGUGAACUAGAACCAACUCCCUUGACAGUGUGACCGAACGAACAAUCAUCAGGGUGGAGGACAGCUCUCGGGCUGGACUAUGACUCGUUCUAGGGGCCCUUUGAGGCUUCAAUCCACUGUCAAGUGUCUUUGCGACCACCUGGCAGACUACAUUCGUGUAGCGUUCUGCCGAAUUUUGUUUAACCCAAUUUUUUUAACCCCUUUCACAACAUACUAAUAACUGAACCAUUUUUUUCUAUAUAUCCGUUUUCGGAUGUGAUAUAUGAAAAAAGAUAUACGUAAUGCUGAACAACUCUUAGCAAUGGAUAUCUUGGUUCUCGUAACGAUGAAAAACGCAGC
RNAcentral lists this unclassified non-coding RNA (419 nucleotides) under fungal sp. Its description in RNAcentral is "partial internal transcribed spacer region". The stretch from base 1 to 46 matches the Rfam family "Eukaryotic small subunit ribosomal RNA", at positions 1786 to 1831 of the family's 1831-position model. The record is from RNAcentral. Lineage: Eukaryota; Fungi.